CCAAUAGCGUAUAUUAAAGUUGUUGCAGUUAAAAAGCUCGUAGUUGAAUUUCGGGGUUAGUAGGUUGGUCAUGCCUCCGGUAUGUACUGAUCUCACUGAUUCCUCCUUCCUUAUGAACCGUAAUGCCAUUAAUUUGGUGUUGCGGGGAAUUUGGACUGUUACUUUGAAAAAAUUAGAGUGUUUAAAGCAGGCUAACGCUUGAAUACAUUAGCAUGGAAUA
RNAcentral lists this ribosomal RNA (220 nucleotides) under uncultured Glomus. RNAcentral's name for it is "partial small subunit ribosomal RNA". It matches the Rfam family "Eukaryotic small subunit ribosomal RNA", at positions 591 to 816 of the family's 1831-position model. The record is from RNAcentral. Lineage: Eukaryota; Fungi; Glomeromycota; Glomeromycetes; Glomerales; Glomeraceae.